GGUGAACGCUGGCGGUAGGCCUAACACAUGCAAGUCGAACGGCAGCACAGUAAGAGCUUGCUCUUACGGGAGGCGAGUGGCGGACGGGUGAGGAAUACAUCGGAAUCUACUUUUUCGUGGGGGAUAACGUAGGGAAACUUACGCUAAUACCGCAUACGACCUACGGGUGAAAGCAGGGGAUCUUCGGACCUUGCGCGAUUGAAUGAGCCGAUGUCGGAUGAGCUAGUUGGCGGGGUAAAGGCCCACCAAGGCGACGAUCCGUAGCUGGUCUGAGAGGAUGAUCAGCCACACUGGAACUGAGACACGGUCCAGACUCCGACGGGAGGCAGCAGUGGGGAAUAUUGGACAAUGGGCGCAAGCCUGAUCCAGCCAUACCGCGUGGGUGAAGAAGGCCUUCGGGUUGUAAAGCCCUUUUGUUGGGAAAGAAAAGCAGCAGGUUAAUACCCCGCUGUUCUGACGGUACCCAAAGAAUAAGCACCGGCUAACUUCGUG
RNAcentral lists this ribosomal RNA (492 nucleotides) under uncultured bacterium. Its description in RNAcentral is "partial 16S ribosomal RNA". It matches the Rfam family "Bacterial small subunit ribosomal RNA", at positions 28 to 507 of the family's 1533-position model. The record is from RNAcentral.